Molecule: microRNA precursor, 105 nt
Filed under: Oryza longistaminata (longstamen rice)
Lineage: Eukaryota; Viridiplantae; Streptophyta; Magnoliopsida; Poales; Poaceae
Source: RNAcentral
AAUUUAUCGUGUAGCCAAGGAUGAAUUGCCGGCGUUUCGCUGUUGAUGGGUACGUACGUCCUACGUUGGCGCCGGCAAGUCAUUUCAGGCUACAUGUUUGCCUCC